AUGGGCUGACUCCGUAUUCGAAGCAGUAGAGCGAGCCGUUCUUGAGGAAACAGUCCAAACAAGAAAGGACCACUCCGCUGUUUGGUUGUCUGAAACCACAAUCUGGAAACGUUGGGCAGAUGUCUUCAGUGGAAGAAGAAGCUGAGGUGAAUGACUCCAUGGGAGAAGAAGAAGAUGAAGAAUUAAGGUUGUGCUCAGGUCUGAAAUGAACAACCUUGGAUCCACCGACAAAGAUUCCUGCAAUAAAUGUUUCCUCUCAACCAAUUAAAUUAAAGCUCAACAGAGUUCGAUGGCGUGUCUAAAACAGUAUCCAAUCCAAUCAUCAACAGAGGAAUAUACAGAUAAAGUCAAUGAGAUUUCACACUAAGUAGAGAUUAAACAAAGUCAAAAGCUUUUUCUUUUAUAAGAUCUAUCUAUAGAUUAAAGUCAACAACUUUCUACAGUUCCAGAAACAGAGAAGAAAAAGAAACAAACUUUGGGAAGUUACCGUGGUGAGAAUAAGCGAAGACUGCUCUGUAAGUGUAGAUGUGAUCUCCUGCCUUUAGCUCCUCUCUCUCCAUCUUGUUCGUUAGCAAACCCAUUCUUCCUUCUUCUUCUCUCUCUCUCUCGAUACACAAAGCUUUUCCCUUUUGAUUUUCUGGAAAAUGCAGCAAACGUUGUUACAAGUGUGAGCUCUGACGGUGGGAUCUGACGUCAGCUAGAUAGCUAAAGGCAUAUGAUUGGGUGAACGAACUGGAGCGGGUGAGCUAAUUCGUUACGGAAUCUUCUAACGGCGUUAUCUCCAAAUCCCAAAUGCGACCAACGAGGUCCAAAGUCGCUGAUUUUCCGGGGUCCCUUUUUACCUUGAUUACAGGCGAGGGUAAUAUAGUAUUUUCACCGUGCAUGCCGUUGGUGAACAAAACAAAGAAAAGAAUGACUUGGUGGAGUAGGUCAAGCAACGGACGUUUGUUUACAUUUCCUUUAUUCUUUCCAAAGUUUCAGUAAAACAAAAUUACAAAGGCAAAGAUCACACACUAUUAGUAUAUUAGAGAGAGAUACUCCAAUUAUAAACUUUGACAUCAAACUCUGGAUGCUCUUCCAAUCUCUGCCUCAACUCCUUAGCCUUCUCUGCGUCCUUAGCCAAUAUAAGCGAGAAUCCUCCACCCCCUGCACCCACAAGCUUGAAACCUGAGCUAUAAGGCUGCGAAAACGCAAAUAGCCUGUCCACAAACUCAUUGCUGCAAUACGGAUCAAGCUCUUGAUGCAAUCUCCAAGCCUCUGACAUUAUCUCCCCAAGCUCAUCCACUUCACAGUUCAUCAACGCUUCUCUCCCGGCUUUCGCCAGCUCGGUCAAACGCUUUAUGCUUGAUAUCAAGAGGUUAUCUCUUUGUAGAUACCUUGUUACAACCUUGUGUAGGACUUGGUGAGCUAGCCUGACCUGUUUUACAAAAAAAAAAUGCAUCAAGACAAAAUUCAAGACUCUAGAAGGGAAACAACCAUCCAACAGUCCAACCUAAGAGCAGACCAGCACCAAUGAGACUAAACCCCAACGCAAAAGCCAUCAUAUAUCUCCCAAUCUCCCCCAUUUUCUUAUUCUUCUUCUUCUUCCCUCUUUGCUUCCUCUUCUUCAGAUUCAUUCCUUCGAUCUGCUCUUGUUCUCCCACCUCCUCCGUAUGCAGAUAGAGAGCUUCCAUUUCAAGAAGCUUUAUCCAUUGCUUGUAAGCUAAAAUCUGACUCGCUUGCCUCAUCAAGACAGUAAUCAAACGGUCUUUCUCAGCGCAAGCUUCUUUGGCAGCCUCCUCUGCUUCUCUUGCUCUGGUUUGAGAAUGCCUUAGCGCUUCUAAAAGCUGAGCUUUGCUUAUAAGAUCAUCGCUCUGAGGAGAAGACUUUGGACUCGUGUUCUUGCUAUCUGUGCUAUUACUGCUGCUCUCAAACCGAUCGCUCCAAGCACCUUGUUUCCAUGGUGAUUUAAUAACUGCUGUCUGAAACCCUUUUUCACCAUUAGUAGUGCAUUGAAUGCUCUUGUGGAGCUUCUGGGGCGGAGGAAGAUCACAGUUUUGAAUAUGAUGAUCAACGGAUCUAGUGGACACCAAGAGAGCUAGCUCAUCUUGAUCCGUAGCGCUUCUCCACCACGGCGUUGUAGCUGUAUCUUUCUUGCUAAUAAAGCUAUACUCUUCUUCGUCUUUUGCUUCUUUACUUACCCCGGUUAAGUCGACGAAUUGAUGCAAUUUGGUAUCUUGGAGGAAGGAGUUUGCAAUCUCCUCAUCAAAACCAGAUGAUCCUCCCUUAAGCCACCAUUUGGUAUCAGAAGAGAAAUCAGAGGAAUCUCCAAAACUUGUAGAAGAAAAGCUGUUUUUGCCAGAAGAAGAAGAAGAAGAAUGUUGUUGUUGUUGUUGGUGGCAGCAACAAGCUAACCUCGGAGGCAUUGUAGCAUCUUCAUGAACAAGAAAGCAACGGCUUGCUCUUCUUUGCCAGAGUGCUCUUACUUCAGCUGCUCCCAUUUUAUCACAUCAAUGUUAAGACUCCCUGAAAAAUUAAAGAGAGGAUUAAAUGGCAAAAUCAAAAGAUAAAAAUAUUCGAUUUUAUGAAUUAAAAAAAACAAAACUUGUUCUCUCUUCUUACCAUAGAUCGAUUGCUUCUAAGCAAAUGAUUAAUCCAAUAUACAAGCGAGAACUUUAAUUAAGCAACAUAACACGACGCAAGUCUUGCUGCGAUCGAUCAUUCAAGCAUCUUCACAAAAAAAAAAUAUAUAUUAAACAGUCAAUGAUCACUAUUUCAAUCUCAGCCUAAAAAUCAUAAUUGAAUUUCUGAAACAGAUCCACGAGGCAUAAGAAUAUAAAUCUAAUCACCAAAAUCAACUUGUUAGAGCACAAAUGAAAUUUUACUAACUUUGUCAGAAAAUUUUAAUAUCAGAAGGGAAAGCCGUACGAUGGAACCAUCUCUGGCUCGAGAGAAAAACAAUCAGAUCGAACAAAAACGAUCGAUGUGAGUAAAUUUUAUGUAAAUCAGACACGAAAACAGAAACAGAGAGGAGAAAGAGAUUUGUGCACAAAGAGAUCAUUAAGAAAAAAGCAGAGUAAAGAUACCAUUUUAAUUAAUUCGAAGAUUCCACUGAAUCUCUCUCUAUUAAAAUGAUCUUCCAACCGAAGCUUUUGGCUUUUCUGCUUCUUUCUUCCUUCGCACUCUGUCCCCCAUUUUUGAUUCGAACCCAUUUUCACAGUUUCGUAAAGUUUCUUUGAGUUCCAAAACGACACAGUUUCAAUCACUUGUUGGCUUGGUAAGCCGCUGGAUUGACUACACGUGUCUUCUGAAGGGAGAAUCGACGGUUUCACAUAGUGUAGACCCCCACAUUUAUUUAAAGGAUAAGACGUAUUUAUUUUUUCUUACAUGGACCCACCACGAUGGGAAAAACAAAAAUAUCAUUAGUCUUAUUCUAAGCUUUGAUUAAUCAUUCAUUCCUUUCCUUUCCUUCUGUCGGCUUUAAAGUUUACCCCUAACACCAUUUUUAUCAAAUUAACCAUCUUGAACCACUGUAAUUUGAUCUUUUCCCAAGUGCUUUACUAUACGAUUAAACGAGUGAAAUAAUGUUCAUAUAUUGCAUAUGUAAUAACCAGGUGUACUUCGGUCGGAUACGUGUCACUAGAGAUGUUGUAGUCACCCACCCACGUGUUCUCACUGAAAUCAAACUCAUCCUCGUGUUAGUUAGUAUGGAUAACUCUCGAGUCACGGCAUGCAGCAUACUUGUGCCAACCUUAAACCUAACUAUUGUUGUAUCUUAAGUCCAGUAAGUGAGCCCCAGCUAAUUUGACCAGAAAAGAUUAUGAAUAAGAAGAUCGAAGCUUCAAAAUUAGUUACUUUACAAAAUAUCCAGCAAGCAUAUAACUCUCGAAUAAAUAAAUAAACCAAUUCAUAUGAACAUUUAAACGCAUACAUAUGUUUUGGUUAUAUCCCCUUUUUUCUUCUUCCUUCCUGUUCUCUGACCGUAACAGAGAUGGAUCUGCUGAGAAGAAGAAGCUGACUUACAUGUCAGCAUUGAUGCCGAAGAUGCGAACCUUGUGCAUGUUAGGGAACUUGGCGACAACAAGAACCAUGAGAGCGAGUGUGUUGAGCAACAGCCAUGGAUGUCUGUAAUCUGUUGUAUGUGAUGCUAUCAAGUACCUGCAUUUGUUUUUUACAAAGAAAAUGUAUAUCAUUAAAGAUUGUUCGAUUAAAACCACAAGAAAACUUAUCUAUAAUGUCAGAUACAAAGUGACAGAAGAGAAGAUAAAGAGCUAAAUCUCAAAGCUCAUCAACUCAAAAACUAGAAGGUUAGUUUGAGUUCUCCAGAGUAAGGCCUAGGUUUAAGAUUGCGGGAAUAUAAAUGAGUCUUAAGGUUUACUCCAUUCAAAAGAGAAUGCAAUUAAUAAAUAAACAGAAACAGAGGGACAUACAGGACAAUGGGAACGACGGUGAGGAACUUGCGGUUGCUGGUAAGUUGCUGACCGUUGUCCAUCUGUUCCCACCAGGUGAGAGCAUUGUAGAUGCCUUGGUCUUCCCCAAAAGGAGUUCCUUUCAUCCAGUGGAAGCUGUGAUAAGUUACCUGUGUGAUGAUACCACACCAAAAUAAUUAUGCUCUCUACUCAAAACUGGCCUUUAAAAAUUGCAUCUUUAAUUAAAAAGUCUGAUAAACUCGACGACAUUGCUAUAACUGAUAAUAUCAAUUCACAAUCGCAAUCAACUCAAAAAAAAAAGGUAUGAUAACCAAACUAAUCAAUAACCAAAACUGAGAAACUCGUAACCAGAUUCAAAUCCAGCAAUCCCUAUUGAAGAGCGUACACAAUGGCAAAUAUUGUUAAAGAAGGAGGCAGCUUACAAGGAAGUGGGAGAGAUUAACAACGGUCCAAGCCAUCCCAGGGGAACAGCCAGAGACGGAGAGAACAGCUAGCCACCCGAAGAAGAUUAUCAGUAUAUAAGUCGUCCACACCCCUGGAUACAUGAACCACUCCGUGUUCCUGUUCAUAUCCGGCGGCGCCACCGCUUUCACAUACAGUUUCGCCAUCUCCUUUUUCUUUUUCCCCCUCGGAUCCAAAUCUAAGAAGAUAUUUCGAGACGACGAUUGAUUGAUUGAUUCUCCGAUCAAAAGGAGGAAGCUUAUUUGGAAACUCACAACUCUCUCUCUCUUUCCAGAUCUUCGGUUUAGUUUAAUUUAAUUUUGUGAAAGACGACUACUGCCUUUUAAGCAUGAAACGGUGGCGUUUAGUUCCUACUUGAGCAUUUGACAAAACGGUGGCGUUUAGUUCCUACUUUGGAAUUUUAACGACAAACUAAACGGAUUAUGGAGUGUUCCAAGUUAUUGGACUUGCAGUUUUGUUACACUAUAAUCCAUCACAAUACACUCCAUAACAUGAUUCACGACGCCAUCAACACUUGACUCAAAUGAUCAUAUAGUCACCUAACAAACUCGGUAUCAGAAUCUUCUUCCUCUUCUUCUUCUUCUUCUUCUUCUUCUUCAACUUGCUCAAUGCUCUUCACGUCAAGGUUGAGAGCCAAAUCCUCAACGGACACCUUCACCACAUCCCUUCUAACUCCAAUAUCAGUCGCAUACCUGCUCAUACAAUACAUUCCAGCUGUCACCGUCGCCACACCUAUGGGGUUUGGAAUCAGCAGACUGAAAGGAGAAGAGAGUACUGCAGCCAAAGGAGCACCGACAAUCGAUGAAGCUUGACCGCUUCUCCCUACACCCAGCUUAUCCAUUAUAAGCAACCCUGUCUUGCAGUAGAGCGCGAAAUCCUCGCAGUUGUUCUUGAAAAUGUCGUAGUUUCCGAAUCCGUUUUGGAGAAGGUACAUUGCCCUGUGGAUGACUGAAUCAGUCGGGUCUGAUUGCGCGGUUGUGCAGGUGCCUCCGCGGACUUUGGUGAGGAAAACUGAUGGGCUGACUCCGUAUUCGAAGCAGUAGAGCGAGCCGUUCUUGAGGAAACAGUCCAAACAAGAAAGGACCACUCCGCUGUUUGGUUGUCUGAAACCACAAUCUGGAAACGUUGGGCAGAUGUCUUCAGUGGAAGAAGAAGCUGAGGUGAAUGACUCCAUGGGAGAAGAAGAAGAUGAAGAAUUAAGGUUGUGCUCAGGUCUGAAAUGAACAACCUUGGAUCCACCGACAAAGAUUCCUGCAAUAAAUGUUUCCUCUCAACCAAUUAAAUUAAAGCUCAACAGAGUUCGAUGGCGUGUCUAAAACAGUAUCCAAUCCAAUCAUCAACAGAGGAAUAUACAGAUAAAGUCAAUGAGAUUUCACACUAAGUAGAGAUUAAACAAAGUCAAAAGCUUUUUCU
This 6284-nucleotide long non-coding RNA is filed under the name Brassica napus (rape). RNAcentral's name for it is "long non-coding RNA (BNAP_LNC012495)". The record is from RNAcentral. Lineage: Eukaryota; Viridiplantae; Streptophyta; Magnoliopsida; Brassicales; Brassicaceae.